GCCUCGAUAGUGUAAUGGAUCAGCACGGUACAUCGGAUAUCUAUAAGUGCGGGUUCGAAUCCCACCUGAGGCU
RNAcentral lists this transfer RNA (73 nucleotides) under Dictyocaulus viviparus (bovine lungworm). It matches the Rfam family "tRNA". From Rfam's summary of the family: Transfer RNA (tRNA) molecules are approximately 80 nucleotides in length. Lineage: Eukaryota; Metazoa; Nematoda; Chromadorea; Rhabditida; Metastrongylidae. The record is from Rfam by way of RNAcentral.